RNAcentral lists this ribosomal RNA (642 nucleotides) under uncultured Ascomycota. Its description in RNAcentral is "partial 18S ribosomal RNA". The stretch from base 109 to 642 matches the Rfam family "Eukaryotic small subunit ribosomal RNA", at positions 1 to 547 of the family's 1831-position model. The record is from RNAcentral. Lineage: Eukaryota; Fungi; Ascomycota.
AGCUAUGACCAUGAUUACGCCAAGCUAUUUAGGUGACACUAUAGAAUACUCAAGCUAUGCAUCCAACGCGUUGGGAGCUCUCCCAUAUGGUCGACCUGCAGGCGGCCGCACUAGUGAUUGUAGUCAUAUGCUUGUCUCAAAGAUUAAGCCAUGCAUGUCUAAGUAUAAGCAAUUAUACGGCGAAACUGCGAAUGGCUCAUUAUAUAAGUUAUCGUUUAUUUGAUAGUACCUUACUACUUGGAUAACCGUGGUAAUUCUAGAGCUAAUACAUGCUUAAAAUCCCGACUUCGGAAGGGAUGUAUUUAUUAGAUUAAAAACCAAUGCCCUUCGGGGCUCUCUGGUGAUUCAUGAUAACUUCUCGAAUCGCAUGGCCUUGCGCCGGCGAUGGUUCAUUCAAAUUUCUUCCCUAUCAACUUUCGAUGUUUGGGUAUUGGCCAAACAUGGUUGCAACGGGUAACGGAGGGUUAGGGCUCGACCCCGGAGAAGGAGCCUGAGAAACGGCUACUACAUCCAAGGAAGGCAGCAGGCGCGCAAAUUACCCAAUCCCGACUCGGGGAGGUAGUGACAAUAAAUACUGAUACAGGGUUCUUUCGGAUCUUGUAAUUGGAAUGAGUACAAUUUAAAUCCCUUAACGAGGAACAA